UACGUAGGGGGCAAGCGUUGUCCGGAAUCAUUGGGCGUAAAGCGCGCGUAGGCGGCCCGGUAAGUCCGUUGUGAAAGUCAAAGGCUCAACCUUUGAAUGCCGAUGGAUACUGCCGGGCUGGAGUCCGGAAGAGGCGAGUGGAAUUCCUGGUGUAGCGGUGGAAUGCGCAGAUAUCAGGAGGAACACCGAUAGCGAAGGCAGCUCGCUGGGACGGUACUGACGCUGAGGCGCGAAAGCGUGGGGAGCGAACGGG
RNAcentral lists this ribosomal RNA (253 nucleotides) under uncultured bacterium. RNAcentral's name for it is "partial 16S ribosomal RNA". It matches the Rfam family "Bacterial small subunit ribosomal RNA", at positions 524 to 776 of the family's 1533-position model. The record is from RNAcentral.